Molecule: ribosomal RNA, 158 nt
Filed under: Verruciconidia persicina
Lineage: Eukaryota; Fungi; Ascomycota; Sordariomycetes; Hypocreales; Bionectriaceae
Description: Acremonium persicinum partial large subunit ribosomal RNA
Rfam family: Eukaryotic large subunit ribosomal RNA
Source: RNAcentral
CGGCAACAGCUCAAAUUUGAAAUCUGGCCCUAGGCCCGAGUUGUAAUUUGCAGAGGAUGCUUUUGGUGAGGUGCCUUCCGAGUUCCCUGGAACGGGACGCCAUAGAGGGUGAGAGCCCCGUACGGUUGGUCGCUAAGCCUCUGUGAAACUCCUUCGAC